GACGAACGAGGGUGGGGGGAGGAAAAAGGAAAGGCGCAGGGAAAGGCCCCCUUGUGGGGUAGGAGAGGGGCGAACGGGUGAGUAACACGUGAGUAACCUACCCUUGACUUUGGGAUAACUUCAGGAAACUGGGGCUAAUACCGGAUAGGAGCUCCUGCUGCAUGGUGGGGGUUGGAAAGUUUCGGCGGUUGGGGAUGGACUCGCGGCUUCUCAGCGUGUUGGUGGGGUAGUGGCUCACCAAGGCUUUGACGGGGAGCCGGCCUGAGAGGGUGACCGGCCACAUUGGGACUGAGAUACGGCCCAGACUCCUACGGGAGGCAGCAGUGGGGAAUAUUGCACAAUGGGCGGAAGCCUGAUGCAGCAACGCCGCGUGCGGGAUUCCCUCCUUCGUGUUGUAAACCGCUUUCGCCUGUUACUCAGCGUGAGUGACGGUCAUGGGUAACGAAGCCCCCGCUCCCUACGUC
This 464-nucleotide ribosomal RNA is filed under the name uncultured bacterium. RNAcentral's name for it is "partial 16S ribosomal RNA". It matches the Rfam family "Bacterial small subunit ribosomal RNA", at positions 28 to 507 of the family's 1533-position model. The record is from RNAcentral.